UACGUAGGGGGCGAGCGUUGCCCGGAAUUACUGGGCGUAAAGGGAACGUAGGUGGCUCUUAAAGUCAGGUGUGAAAAUAACGAAGCUUAACAGGUUAAUGCGCUUGAAACUAAAGGGCUUGAGGGCAAUAGAGGGAGAUGGAAUUACCUGUGUAGGGGUGAAAUCCGCAGAUAUAGGUAAGAAGGCCGGUGGGGAAGCCGAUCUCCUGGGUUGACUCUGACACUGAGGUUCGAAAGCUAGGGGAGCAAACCGGAUUAGAAACCCCGGUAGUCC
RNAcentral lists this ribosomal RNA (273 nucleotides) under uncultured prokaryote. RNAcentral's name for it is "partial 16S ribosomal RNA". It matches the Rfam family "Bacterial small subunit ribosomal RNA", at positions 524 to 796 of the family's 1533-position model. The record is from RNAcentral.